GACGAACGCUGGCGGCGUGCUUAACACAUGCAAGUCGAACGGAAAGGCCCUGCUUUUGUGGGGUGCUCGAGUGGCGAACGGGUGAGUAACACGUGAGUAACCUGCCCUUGACUUUGGGAUAACUUCAGGAAACUGGGGCUAAUACCGGAUAGGAGCUCCUGCUGCAUGAUGGGGGUUGGAAAGUUUCGGCGGUUGGGGAUGGACUCGCGGCUUAUCAGCUUGUUGGUGGGGUAGUGGCUUACCAAGGCCUUGACGGGUAGCCGGCCUGAGAGGGUGACCGGCCACAUUGGGACUGAGAUACGGCCCAGACUCCUACGGGAGGCAGCAGUGGGGAAUAUUGCACAAUGGGCGGAAGCCUGAUGCAGCAACGCCGCGUGCGGGAUGACGGCCUUCGGGUUGUAAACCGCUUUCGCCUGUGACGAAGCGUGAGUGACGGUAAUGGGUAAAGAAGCACCGGCUAACUACGUG
This 468-nucleotide ribosomal RNA is filed under the name uncultured bacterium. Its description in RNAcentral is "partial 16S ribosomal RNA". It matches the Rfam family "Bacterial small subunit ribosomal RNA", at positions 28 to 507 of the family's 1533-position model. The record is from RNAcentral.